CAGCAGUCAAGUUGCAUCCCUUUUAUUGGGUCUAAAACAUCCGUAGCUGCCGUUUAAGUCUCUUGUGAAAUCCUACGUCUCAAGCGUGGGGCUUGCAGGAGAUACUGAGCGGCUAGAGAUCGGUAGACGUAAGCAGUACGCCGGGGGUAAUGGUUAAAUAUGUUAAUCCUCGGUGGACUAACAAUGAGCGAAGGCAGCUUACGAGGACGAAUCUGACAGUGAGGGAUGAAGGCCAGGGGCGCAAAACGGAUUAGAUACCCGUGUAGUCCUGGCAGUAAACACUGCUCACUAAACAUCGGGCCCUCUUCGGGAGGAUUCGGUGCUGAAGCGAAGGCGAAGAGUGAGCUACCUGGGAAGUAUAGUCGCAAGAUCGAAACUUAAAGGAAUUGGCGGGGAGACAUACAACGAGUGACGCGUGCGGUUCAAUCAGAUUUUACACCGUGAACCUCACCAGGAGCGACAGCAGGAUGAAGGUCAGUCUAAAGGGCUUACCUGACACGCUGAGCGGAGAUACAAAGCCGACGUCAGCCUGUGCAGUGAUGUGACCUGUUAAAUCAGGUAACAGGCGAGACCCGUGUCGUUAAUUACUACAGAAAUGGGUACAUUAACGAGAUUGCCUUGGUAACAAGGAUGAAAGUGCGGGCUACGUUAGGUGGCUAUGUCCCUAAUCCCCUGGGCUACACGCGCGCGGCAAUGGUAUGUUCAAUGAGAUGCAACUCCGAGAGGAGAAGCUAAUCCCCUAACGCAUAUCUCAGUCCAGAUUGAGGGUUGCAACCCACCCUCAUGACGCUGGAAUUCGUAGUAAUCGGAUAUUAGCACUGUCCGGUGAAUAAGUCCCUGUCUCUU
This 846-nucleotide ribosomal RNA is filed under the name uncultured organism. RNAcentral describes it as "bacterial SSU rRNA". It matches the Rfam family "Archaeal small subunit ribosomal RNA", at positions 477 to 1338 of the family's 1478-position model. The record is from RNAcentral.